UACGAAGGGUGCAAGCGUUACUCGGAAUUACUGGGCGUAAAGCGCGCGCAGGCGGCUAUCCAAGUCAGUGGUGAAAGCCCGGAGCUCAACUCCGGAACUGCCAUUGAAACUGUUUAGCUUGAGGAUGAGAGAGGUGAGUGGAAUUCCCAGUGUAGAGGUGAAAUUCGUAGAUAUUGGGAAGAACACCGGUGGCGAAGGCGGCUCACUGGCUCAUUACUGACGCUCAGGCGCGAUAGCGUGGGGAUCAAACAGG
This 253-nucleotide ribosomal RNA is filed under the name uncultured bacterium. RNAcentral's name for it is "partial 16S ribosomal RNA". It matches the Rfam family "Bacterial small subunit ribosomal RNA", at positions 524 to 776 of the family's 1533-position model. The record is from RNAcentral.